AAGGCUUAUCUUGACUUGGAAGACAUGUGGAUUAGAAAGAAAUUACAUUUGCUUCGACAGGGGGAUAGACUGGUGAAGCCAUUGGCAUGUUAUGUACUGAAUCGAAAAGAGAGAAAUCAAUUUGUCACAUAUUUGAGAUCAGUGAGAUUUUUCGAUGGAUACGCCUUAAACUUGAAAUGGUGCAUCAAGCUGAAAGAUGGAA
RNAcentral lists this long non-coding RNA (202 nucleotides) under Elaeis guineensis (African oil palm). Its description in RNAcentral is "long non-coding RNA (EGUI_LNC048609)". The record is from RNAcentral. Lineage: Eukaryota; Viridiplantae; Streptophyta; Magnoliopsida; Arecales; Arecaceae.